AAAACGACUCUCGGCAACGGAUAUCUCGGUCUCGCAUCGAUGAAGAACGUAGCGAAAUGCGAUACUUGGUGUGAAUUGCAGAAUCCCGUGAACCAAUCGAGUCUUUGAACGCAAGUUGCGCCCGAAGCCAUUAGGCCGAGGGCACGUCUGCCUGGGCGUCACG
Molecule: ribosomal RNA, 163 nt
Filed under: Verbena bonariensis (purpletop vervain)
Lineage: Eukaryota; Viridiplantae; Streptophyta; Magnoliopsida; Lamiales; Verbenaceae
Description: 5.8S ribosomal RNA
Rfam family: 5.8S ribosomal RNA
About the family: 5.8S ribosomal RNA (5.8S rRNA) is a component of the large subunit of the eukaryotic ribosome. It is transcribed by RNA polymerase I as part of the 45S precursor that also contains 18S and 28S rRNA. Functionally, it is thought that 5.8S rRNA may be involved in ribosome translocation.
Source: RNAcentral